This is a non-coding RNA of Geosporobacter ferrireducens, 121 nucleotides long. The record is from Rfam. Lineage: Bacteria; Bacillati; Bacillota; Clostridia; Peptostreptococcales; Thermotaleaceae.
AAAGCCUUUAAAUUGGUCCGGAGAGGCCUGUAAGGUGCUGUAAAAUAUGGAUACGUAUUUAGCGUACUUAUUUUGCUAUGGAACGAAAGACCUUCUGCCUCUGUGAGAAGGUCUUUUUAUU